CCUGGCUCAGAACGAACGCUGGCGGCAUGCCUAACACAUGCAAGUCGAACGAGACCUUCGGGUCUAGUGGCGCACGGGUGCGUAACGCGUGGGAAUCUGCCCUUAGGUUCGGAAUAACUUCGGGAAACUGAAGCUAAUACCGGAUGAUGACGUAAGUCCAAAGAUUUAUCGCCUAAGGAUGAGCCCGCGUAGGAUUAGCUAGUUGGUGAGGUAAAGGCUCACCAAGGCGACGAUCCUUAGCUGGUCUGAGAGGAUGAUCAGCCACACUGGGACUGAGACACGGCCCAGACUCCUACGGGAGGCAGCAGUGGGGAAUAUUGGACAAUGGGCGAAAGCCUGAUCCAGCAAUGCCGCGUGAGUGAUGAAGGCCUUAGGGUUGUAAAGCUCUUUUACCCGGGAUGAUAAUGACAGUACCGGGAGAAUAAGCUCCGGCUAACUCCGUG
This 443-nucleotide ribosomal RNA is filed under the name uncultured bacterium. Its description in RNAcentral is "bacterial SSU rRNA". It matches the Rfam family "Bacterial small subunit ribosomal RNA", at positions 18 to 507 of the family's 1533-position model. The record is from RNAcentral.